This 328-nucleotide ribosomal RNA is filed under the name uncultured eukaryote. Its description in RNAcentral is "partial 18S ribosomal RNA". It matches the Rfam family "Eukaryotic small subunit ribosomal RNA", at positions 1470 to 1796 of the family's 1831-position model. The record is from RNAcentral.
CCCUUAGAUGUCCGGGGCUGCACGCGCGCUACACUGAAAGAAUCAGCGUGCUAAAACCAUUGUCGAAAGGCAUUGGUAAACCCAUUAAAAUCCUACGUGAUUGGGAUCGGGAAUUGCAAUUAUUUCCCUUGAACGAGGAAUUCCCAGUAAGUGUGGGUCAUAAGCUCGCGUUGAUUACGUCCCUGCCCUUUGUACACACCGCCCGUCGCUGCCCGGGACUGAGCCGUUUCGAGAAAAGCGGGGACUGCUGCUGUCGGGGCUUUCGGGCCUUGGCUUCGGUGGAAACCGCUUUAAUCGCAGUGGCUUGAACCGGGCAAAAGUCGUAACA